Non-coding RNA from Podarcis lilfordi (Lilford's wall lizard), 75 nucleotides. The record is from the annotation of a GenBank genome assembly. NCBI's taxonomy places the organism in Eukaryota, Metazoa, Chordata, Lepidosauria, Squamata, Lacertidae.
GGACGUGCCAUAGCUCAAUAGUAGAGCAUUUGUCUUCCAUGCAGAAGGUCCCAGGUUCAAUAUCAGACAUCUCCA